Onychostoma macrolepis is the source of this 1057-nucleotide long non-coding RNA. RefSeq lists it as uncharacterized. The transcript has 4 exons. The record is from RefSeq and is a predicted model, not a curated record. NCBI's taxonomy places the organism in Eukaryota, Metazoa, Chordata, Actinopteri, Cypriniformes, Cyprinidae.
UUUAGCCUACUUGCUCAAGCUUUUUUUCUUUAAACUGGAGAGAACAACUGCAACUUGGCUACUUUUCAAUUGUUUUUACAACCAAAUCUGACUUGAUAACCUUACUGAAAGUAACUUAAUAAAUGUUCAUUUAUUAAGUAAGGGAUAAUCAACGGCUAGCUGUGUAAAAAAAAUAAUAAUAUUUUUUGAGCAAGGUCUUUACCUGAAGUAAGACUUAAAAAUACACCAUGCGGCCUGUAUAAAUAAAUCUGAUGCUAUAAAGCACAUGUGACGCACAUAGUUUCAUGGUUGAAGUGUAAACCAGAUGCUCAAGAAGCUGAUGCCACAUGACACCAUGCCUCAUUCGAGAGUAGAAAUAAGCGAGGGAACAUCAGGCAUGACUAUAGGUCACUGAAGGGCAAGGCCAGAGCACGUGGGAGGAUUGGGAGCGUGCCAAGUUUCAGAGAACAUCCCACAGUUCAACAGAGAUGAGACGGUGGGAGGCAAAGGUGACGCCCACAUCUUAUGCAUGCAUCUUUUUUCAGUGCAUAACCUCAGUGGCCGUGUCUAAGAUAGUGACCAAACAGCUCAGUCUUUGUUUUGGCAACAGGAAUUCUCCCCUCACACUACACACCAGCUGCGUCACAUGUGCUUGCAGAAUCAUUGAUUUCAGAAGUGAUAGUGUACUAUGAUUGGCUGCUGGGUGGUUUCGCUUCCAUUCUUACAACUUUUGGUUUAGUUCUGGGCGAUAAGAGUUUCAGGUUUUUGUUUUGAUUUGAUGUUUGUUCUGAUGUCACUGCGUUGCCAGGAAGAGGGGUUUUUUCGGAUAAGAGAGGCAUCGAUGUGAUCACUCUCUCUGCGUGAUUAUAUGCCGUUUGGAGAGCUGCAGCUAUGCAAAUUCAGUGGUCAUUUCCAUAUCGACCGCAGUGCUGCGGCUGCCUCAUCUCAUUUGGUUCCUCUCACAUCAUUAGUGGAGCACACAAAAGAAUUUCUUACCAAAACUCUAAACUGGAAUUAACUUUCACUUAGAUGAAAACUGAAACCAAAAAUAAAGUUAUGAGUGUUGUUGAACUCUUUA